RNAcentral lists this transfer RNA (87 nucleotides) under Desulfuromonadaceae bacterium. RNAcentral's name for it is "tRNA-Leu". It matches the Rfam family "tRNA". From Rfam's summary of the family: Transfer RNA (tRNA) molecules are approximately 80 nucleotides in length. Their secondary structure includes four short double-helical elements and three loops (D, anti-codon, and T loops). Further hydrogen bonds mediate the characteristic L-shaped molecular structure. tRNAs have two regions of fundamental functional importance: the anti-codon, which is responsible for specific mRNA codon recognition, and the 3' end, to which the tRNAs corresponding amino acid is attached (by aminoacyl-tRNA synthetases). tRNAs cope with the degeneracy of the genetic code in two manners: having more than one tRNA (with a specific anti-codon) for a particular amino acid; and 'wobble' base-pairing, i.e. permitting non-standard base-pairing at the 3rd anti-codon position. Lineage: Bacteria; Pseudomonadati; Thermodesulfobacteriota; Desulfuromonadia; Desulfuromonadales; Desulfuromonadaceae. The record is from RNAcentral.
GCCCGGGUGGCGGAAUCGGUAGACGCAAGGGACUUAAAAUCCCUCGGCAUUCGUGCUGUACGAGUUCAAGUCUCGUCCCGGGUACCA